Acipenser ruthenus (sterlet) is the source of this 4136-nucleotide RNA transcript. It is a transcript of the gene named alkaline ceramidase 2-like, with no coding region annotated. NCBI's taxonomy places the organism in Eukaryota, Metazoa, Chordata, Actinopteri, Acipenseriformes, Acipenseridae. The transcript is spliced from 7 exons. The record is from RefSeq and is a predicted model, not a curated record.
CUGCUUAGCUGGUAAAUUAGUUGCUGCUGGGGAAGCUGUGAUCGGAGACGUCUUAGGCAAUGCUGUUUAAUAUCAGAGACAAAGGCACUCGCACGGCGAGACCAGUUGAUUUAAAGCGGUAAAGACAAAGUGAUUCAAAAACAUGCAAAACAAAAAGCCUUCGCAGAAAAAAAGAUAGAAAUGUAAACCUUUGAACUAUGGUAACCCAGUGAACAGCUGACAUCCGCUCUUAACGGAGCCAGAAGCACAAUUUGCUGGUGAUACUAAGUGUUUCGGUAGCAUAUAGAAGUAAACAUGAGCAACCUGAAAUUUUGGAACCAGCUGGAAGCGGGUAGUUCUGAGGUGGACUGGUGUGAAGGCAACUACCUGAUUUAUUCUGGCAUUGCGGAGUUCUACAACACGAUCAGCAACAUAUUGUUUUUUAUUUUGCCACCUAUUUUAAUGUACUUGUUCCGUCAAUAUGCAACACAUUUCAACAGUGGAAUAUAUCUAAUAUGGACUCUGCUGGUUGUGGUUGGUAUUGGGUCUGUUUACUUCCAUGCAACAUUGAGCUUUCUGGGCCAGAUGCUGGAUGAGCUUGCAAUCCUCUGGGUUUUGAUGUGUGCCAUUGGCAUGUGGUUCCCCAAGAGAUUCUUGCCAAAGAUUUUCAGGAAAGACAGGGCUAGAUUUAAAGCUGUCAUUGCCAUUCUCUCUGGGAUUACAACAUGCCUCGCAUUUGUCAAGCCGGCAAUAAACGCCAUAUCUUUGAUGAUCCUGGGAAUCCCUUGCACAGUGUUACUCAUUACUGAGUUAAAAAGGUGUGAAAAUGUGCGCGUAUUCAAGCUGGGCCUGAUUUCAGGUUUCUGGUGGACUCUGGCUCUGCUGUGCUGGAUCAGCGACAGGAUUUUCUGCGAGAUGUGGUCGUCUGUUAACUUUCCAUAUCUUCAUUGUGCAUGGCACAUCUUGAUCUGCCUGGCUUCCUACUUGGGCUGUGUCUGCUUUGCCUAUUUUGAUGCGGCCACAGAAGCCCCCGAGCAAGGUCCGGUCAUCAAGUUCUGGCCCAGUGAGAAAUGGGCCUUCAUUGGCGUGCCAUAUGUCACCCUGCUCUGCGUGCAUAGGAAAUCAUCAGUGAAGGUGACAUAACUGUGGUGGCUUUGCUGAGCUUCAUGCACUGACUGCAGCACACAGUGUAUGGUUCUCGUUCAUUUUUAUCUGACUGCCCUCAUUUUGUCACUGUGACUACGGCAAAAAAAAACCAAAUGUUUCUCGUAUAUAUAGAUGUACAGUAUUGUAUAGAUGUUCUUUAUAAACAUAACUUCUUUUUAUGUUGCAACUAAUGCCUACAUUCUAUAUAAAUGUAUAUUUUUGUUACAAAGACCACUGAGCAUAAUGACCCCACUUCAAUUCCUACAACCUGGAGAUAUCUACCUGUCUGUACUUCUACAUUCAUAAAGCUUUAGCACACCCAGUUCAUUCAUUAUACUGUAAUUGUUCUGAUACAAAUUCACAACGGACUAACUUGUCCCCAGCUAUGCCCAUUGUUAAUGAUUAUGUUUCAGUUUUACCCAACAUGUGCUAAUUCUGCACUUCCAAAGCUGUGUGCAGUGUUUUAUCAUGAUACACUAAAAAUGUUUCACAAGUCUUUAUGGCCCUUGAUUGCCAGGGGCUUUAUUUUAUAAGUCUGAAUAAUAAUCUGUUUAUACAGACGGUUUACCUUAAACAGCUUUAAUUUAUAUGUAAUUAAUAUGCAAUAAUAUACAUGUUUUAUUUUACCUUAAUCUUUACGAUCAUACCAACAAGGAGGCUGUGUGGUCCAGUGGUUAAAGAAAAGGGCUUGUAACCAGAAGGUCCCCCGGUUCAAAUCCCACCUCAGCCACUGACUCAUUGUGUGACCCUGAGCAAGUCCCUUAACCUCCUUUUGCGCCGUCUUUCAGAUGGGAAAGUAUAGCCGGCGGAAUCUACACGUUUACCUUAACCAGAUGAGCAUGAAACAGUCAUCAUAAGGACAAGUUCUUGUGGCUAGGCAUUGCAAGGAGUAAAAUGCACAGCAAGCCUGGCACUGGAAACCUGGGCUGGAAUUUGACUGCUGUAUCAAGUGGAAAGAGUUUGGUGCAGCUCAACUUGGCCCCUGUACUCUAUGGAUUUGAGAUUCAAAAUAAUGUGUGCUUGCUCUUGUCUUUGAGGGGGCAGUGCCCAAAACCCUGGAAUAAAGCACUUCUCUUUUGGAGUUCCAUCAUUGUUUAGGGCUCUUUCAGGUUCUUUGACUCAUCACUAAACCUGCCAAUUGUACACCAGCUUUCAAUCUCUGUUCGUAAUGACUGCAUUAAACACUGCCUGACUGGAGUGGAGAUAUGGGGGAUAUCCAAAGCUUUCCUAGGGUAAACCGUAGGAAAGCUUUGGAUAGAAUGUGUAUCUAACACCAUUUGCCUAUGUAACCCUCAUCUAUUCUUUUUAUGUAAUUAUUUGAUUUGUAACAUUCUAUCUUUCAUUUAGAAUUGUUCUAAUUAUGUAUUACAAAUACAUUUCCCCACAUUGUGCAAGGACUUACAGGCUUCAUAUUUAACUUGCAGUGAAUCAGAAAAAUGUGUACAGUACAAGAUUACUAAAGAUGUCAUUGACAUUCAAGUCAACAUGAAAAUAGAACUGUCAUAAACAAUUGCAACUCCCUUGUGAGGAUAAUGCUCUGCUAGUCGGAGAUAAGAUCAAAUAUUCUUGAGCUUGUCUCCGGUCUCGGUUCUAACCCCCUUAAUGUUAAUAUAAUACUUAAAGAAUAUAAUACAGUAAGAAAGAAAGCUGCUAUGCUUGAAUGUGUGCAAACAAACAGUAGUAAAUCAUACAUUCAUACAGCUGUUAAACUAUUUUAUAUUACUGGUAAAUGUUAAAUUACUGUACAACUGAAUCUCAAAUUCCUGGUUGUUCCAUAUUCAUCAGCAGUGAGAACAGGUUUAACGUGUGCAGGAUAUCUCUAUAUUUCCCUAUUGUGGGAAGAUGACUGGCUACAUCCCCCUUUGUGAACCCUCUGAGACAAGCAUCGGUCACACCUUGCAGAGACUUAUAGGAAGCACUGUGGACUACAAGGUAAUGGAGGAAUUACCCGUAGGCAAGACUUCAAGAUCUUCAAACUGUUCUUAGGAAGCAGAUGGGAUUUGUUGAGUUAUAGGCAGUUCUGAAGCUUUUCUUUCAUAGCUUAUCUGUUGUCUCACUUCAGACUAAAGGUAACCUUUGGAGGAUUUCUACUACAACCCCUGAUGGCAGUCUCCCAUUUCGAUUUCUUUCACAAUAACACUAUAUUGUACAAAUACUUCAGUCCAGUGGUCCUCACUUGUGUCUUUAGCUGUUCCAGGGCCUUGUUCUAGCCAUGUUCUUGUUCAAACAAGGAGGCUUGGAACAAGGGCCUGCAUUGGAAUCAACUGAAAAAGCUACAAAUGAGUACCACUGCUUUUUCUUGCUUCAAUCCCUUGACCUUCCUGUUGUCUAAACAUUAUUAGCAACAGUAAAGGCAUAAUAGAAGAUCUUUUGAACCACAAGGUGGCAGUAUAACGCCAUAGGCAUUUUUUUUGUUUUGUUUUAAAGUGCAUGAUUUAAUGGUUCUGGCUAAGAGAGUCCUGUAUGCACAUAUUUUAAUUUCAUUUUAAAUCUGUUCUAUGCUCUCAGUCUCACACAGUCUCUCGUGUGGUAUUAUUCUGCUUCACAUCUGCAUUUUGUGCUGCAUAACUUCAUGGCCAAAGUGUUUGACUUCAGGGCAGAAGAUUUGAGGGUCAUGUAUUAUUGAUUUUAUUGCAAUCUAACCAGCUGUAGUAUAAGGCAACAUGGUUGUCCUUAUCUGUAUGUCAUCUAGUUUCCUUUGCACCUCAAGAUAAUAACAUAAAAGCAGCUUUAUUUACAAAGUUUUGCCACAUGCACAUCAGUAUUGGAAUGCAUAUCCGAAGGGAGAUAUAAUGAGUUCAUAUAUCUUGGGCAGCAGUGUAGAGUAGUGGUUAGGGCUCUGGACUCUUGACCGGAGGGUCAUGGGUUCAAUCCCUGGUAGGGGACACUGCUGCUGUACCCUUGAGCAAGGUACUUUACCUAGAUUGCUCCAGUAAAAACCCAACUGUAUAAAUGGGUAAUUGUAUGUAAAAAUAAUGUGAUAUCUUGUAACAAUUGUAAGUCGCCCUGGA